Molecule: ribosomal RNA, 1037 nt
Filed under: Eremobiotus sp. n. 1 PG-2019
Lineage: Eukaryota; Metazoa; Tardigrada; Eutardigrada; Parachela; Isohypsibiidae
Description: SSU rRNA
Rfam family: Eukaryotic small subunit ribosomal RNA
Source: RNAcentral
UAGAUCGUAUAUUUUACAUGGAUAACUGUGGUAAUUCUAGAGCUAAUACAUGCAACCGCCCGGCUGCCUUGUGCAGCGGGCGCAGUUAUUAGAACAAAACCAAUCCGGCCUCGGUCGGUUGAAUGGUGACUCUGAAUAACCGAAGCGGAGCGCUAAGGUCUCGUACCGGCGCCAGAUCUUUCAAGUGUCUGACUUAUCAGCUUGUAGCGAGGUUAUGUUCCUCGCUUGGCUCUCACGGGUGACGGGGAAUCAGGGUCCGAUUCCGGAGAGGGAGCCUGAGAAACGGCUACCACAUCCAAGGAAGGCAGCAGGCGCGCAAAUUACCCACUCCCGGCACGGGGAGGUAGUGACGAAAAAUAACGAUGCGAGAGCGUUAAUGCUUUUCGUAAUCGGAAUGGGUACACUUUAAAUCCUUUAACGAGGAUCUAUUGGAGGGCAAGUCUGGUGCCAGCAGCCGCGGUAAUUCCAGCUCCAAUAGCGUAUAUUAAAGUUGCUGCGGUUAAAAAGCUCGUAGUUGGAUCCGGGCAGUCGACGCGCGGUGCGCCUUACGGCGUUACUGCGUGCUUCGGCGCCACUAUCCGGCCAUGUCUUCCAUGUUCUUUAUUGAGCGUGGUUGGCGACCGGGACGUUUACUUUGAAAAAAUUAGAGUGCUUAAAGCAGGCAUAUGGUCUUGCAUAAUGGUGCAUGGAAUAAUGGAAUAGGACCUCGGUUCUAUUUUGUUGGUUUUCGGAGCUCGAGGUAAUGAUUAAGAGGAACAGACGGGGGCAUUCGUAUUGCGGCGUUAGAGGUGAAAUUCUUGGAUCGUCGCAAGACGAACUACUGCGAAAGCAUUUGCCAAGAAUGUUUUCAUUAAUCAAGAACGAAAGUUAGAGGUUCGAAGGCGAUCAGAUACCGCCCUAGUUCUAACCAUAAACGAUGCCAACCAGCGAUCCGUCGGUGUUCAUUUAAUGACUCGACGGGCAGCUUCCGGGAAACCAAAGUGCUUAGGUUCCGGGGGAAGUAUGGUUGCAAAGCUGAAACUAAAGGAAUGACGAAA